Molecule: long non-coding RNA, 678 nt
Filed under: Homo sapiens (human)
Lineage: Eukaryota; Metazoa; Chordata; Mammalia; Primates; Hominidae
Description: HSALNT0153968
Source: RNAcentral
UUUCUAUGUUUUCCUGUUUGGCCAUUUUCCUCUCUCUGUUUUCUAUCUUUUGCUGUAUAGACUAUGUUUGUUUGCUUUUACCUUUGUAACAUUUUGGAAUUUUAGUAUGUGCUUUGAAAAUUUUCAAAAGUAUCCCUUAAACCUAUUUCUUUGAUUACCAGAGAGUUGGAUAUGCAACAGGAUGUUCCCCUGCCAUUAUUUUACUUCUUUUCUACCUCUCAUUAGCUGUUUGCAUAAAAAUAAAAUGGAGAUAUUAAUCCAUUUUUUUUCCAGAAAGAAUAUAUGGAUAGUACAUCUUCUAAGCAUUUGUAUCUCUUGAAGUAUGAAGUUCUUGCCUCCAUUUCUGACAGGCAAUUUGGCUGGAAUUAUUUGAAAUAAUCCCUGUUUGAUUAUCUGCUGGCAUUUUAGUGGGAGAGAUGGGGUCUCUCUCUUCCCCAGGCCGGAGUGCUAGAGUGCACUGGCAUGAUUACAGCUCACUGCAGCCUCGACCUCCUGGGCUCAAUUGAUCCUCUAGCCUCAGCCUCGUAAGUAGUUGGGACUACAGGCGUGUACCACCACAUUUGGCUUUUUUUUUUUUUUUUUGGUAUUUUUUGUAGAGACAAGGUUUUGCUAUGUUGCCCAGGCUAGUCUCGAACUCCCAGGCUCAAGUGAUCCUCCCGCCUUGGCCUCCCAAAGUGC